GGUCGACGAUUCCUACGGGAGGCAGCAGUGAGGAAUAUUGGGCAAUGCCCGCAAGGGUGACCCAGCAACGCCGUGUGGAGGAUGAAGGCCGUAAGGUUGUAAACUCCUGUGAGAAGGGAUGAAUGGUAUGAUUUCGUAAGGGAUUAUACUUGACCGUACCUUCAGAGGAAGCCCCGGCU
Molecule: ribosomal RNA, 179 nt
Filed under: uncultured bacterium
Lineage: Bacteria
Description: partial 16S ribosomal RNA
Rfam family: Bacterial small subunit ribosomal RNA
Source: RNAcentral